GUCCCCAUCGUCUAGAGGCCUAGGACACCGGCCUUUCACGCCGGUAACAGGGGUUCGAAUCCCCUUGGGGACGCCA
Molecule: transfer RNA, 76 nt
Filed under: Deltaproteobacteria bacterium SM23_61
Lineage: Bacteria; Deltaproteobacteria
Also listed under: 1 other name
Description: tRNA-Glu
Rfam family: tRNA
About the family: Transfer RNA (tRNA) molecules are approximately 80 nucleotides in length. Their secondary structure includes four short double-helical elements and three loops (D, anti-codon, and T loops). Further hydrogen bonds mediate the characteristic L-shaped molecular structure. tRNAs have two regions of fundamental functional importance: the anti-codon, which is responsible for specific mRNA codon recognition, and the 3' end, to which the tRNAs corresponding amino acid is attached (by aminoacyl-tRNA synthetases). tRNAs cope with the degeneracy of the genetic code in two manners: having more than one tRNA (with a specific anti-codon) for a particular amino acid; and 'wobble' base-pairing, i.e. permitting non-standard base-pairing at the 3rd anti-codon position.
Source: RNAcentral